GCGAAUUAAUUCCGACUUUCACGUAUUAAAUCUCAAGAUUGAGGAUUUAAUUUAUAUAAAUACGACGAGUAUUUAUUAAACAAGAAUUGGAGAAUUAUUACAGGAACUAGGAGAAACUAGAUCACGGCACUACACGUAUUUCUCGAUUUUUCAUCCAACACAACAAUUCCUACAUGUUAGUCAAAAAGCAGCUCCCACAAUUGUCAAAAAGUUGCGGCAAGCCAUUCAACAAUGGCAACAUUUCUUUUCACACUGCAGCCACCUACCACCUCAAUUCCCUAUAAAUAAUCCUCGAAGCAGCAUUUGUAAAUACACCCAAAACCAAAGAAAAAAAAAGAUUCAUCUGCAAUCUAGAGAAAGAGAGGAGCAGGUGAAGGGUUGGGAGAAAAGGUGAAUAGUGAAGUACUGUUCAAGUGAAUAGUGACAGUCGUCGCGAAUAGUGAAAUUCGUGAAUAGUGAAAAUUAGAUAGUAAUUUUCACGGGGAAUAACGGGUUGUGAGUUGAGUGUUGUGAGUGUUGUAAACACUGUAUAUUUUUCUCCCUUGUUAAAUAGAUCUGCAGCAGCUCCGGAGACGUAGGCAUAAUUGGCCGAACUCCGUUAUCAAAUUUGUGUCUUUAUUUUGUCAAAAGAUGCAAAUUUCAACAAUCAAAUUUUCAAAAGUUGCAACUCCCGGUACCAAAAAUUUCCACCAUUUUGAUUAUGUUGUCUGCAGAAACUCCUCUAUAAAUUGAGGAGAGUUCUGCAGAAGGAAGAAGUGCAGCAAGAGGUGUGAGGCAAGAGAGAGUUUAGGAGAAUUUUUAAAAUUUCUUAAUUGCAAGAGCUCAAGUGAGCUCCCUUCGCCAGGCUAUUUCUUCGCCGACCGGCCACUAGGCUCUGAACCGAGAACGUGUACUCGUUCCUCCAUCUUCAGGCUACCAAACCCAACAAUCGAAAGGCCGAAGCCUUCUCUAUAUUUUCCUGACCAAAGGCCGCAAUAUCCUUCGGAGGCCAACGUCGAAUUCCCGACUUAGCCACCGGCCAACUUACGGCUUUCGUUUCUCACUAUCCUUACGACGAAAAAGGAUUGAGAAAACACCGUUGUGUAGCCUGAUCUACCUCGCACGAGGAAGACUAAGUCGUAGACCUUCGCGGCUAAACACCAUCGCGGAACGACGACCAGAAAACCCCCGACGAACAACUUCCAUUAGUGCUCACUUGGACAAGGGUUCAAAUAAACAAAAGCGUCUGAGUAACCUAUCGCGCUAAGGAAAGAGAAUCAUUGUCUUAAGUAGCAAAACACUGCAAUCAGGUGGGCAUUACUUUUACUAUACGUAUAUAGAGAUCCCCUACGUAUCGUAGGCCUCUUAUACGAAUGAAUGCAUGAGAUGAUCUAACUGUUAAUUUCAGUUUCAUAUAUAUCAAAUGAGUUUAAAUGUUACAUUCAAGCAAGUUAUUUCAUGACAAAAUCUUUGAGUUAAAGUUAUUUCAAGUAUUGUCUUGCCAUAAAAUGUUUAAAUUUUAGUAUGAUAUCUAUCUGCUUUGGCUUUGCCAAUGAUGCAAUCGAAUUCGGGUCCUGAGCAGUUGAUAGCUAUCCUGCCAGGACUAGUGUACACCAGUGACCGUGAGUCAUCUAGCGGGUUGGCCGGUCAAGUGACCGUGAGAGGUGGCCACCUCUCCGGCACACAGUUCCAGAUAUGAUAGAUUACAAGAGAACUUAGACUGCAGUCGAACUUUAAGAAUCACAAAUGAAUUUAGUAAGCUUGGGCCUUUUUAGCGAAAAACUCCCUUGCUGUACUGUUUAUGAUGGCACGACAAUUUACAGUUUUGAAGCAUGUAUUUUUAUACCUAGGCAUACGUGCCCACUGAGUGCUUUUGUACUCAGCCCUGCAUAUGUUUUCUAAAUGUGCAGGUUGAGCUGAUGUGAUGAUGGUGUUGCAAUGAGCGGAGUCUCCAGGGUUGUUAAUAAAUAGUUAACCUGUCUAGAAUAUGUCUUCAUACAUAUGUCUAGCUACUUUCCGCUGCAAGAUGUUGUUGAUGUUAUAGUAUGUUAUGUCAUACUUUGAGUCUUAAGAGAAUGGUUUCAUAUGAUGUAUAACUUGAUUAAUGAUAUUAAUUAAGUUUUAUGCUGUCUUUCAUAGACUAUUUUCAA
Molecule: long non-coding RNA, 2129 nt
Organism: Salvia miltiorrhiza (redroot sage)
Lineage: Eukaryota; Viridiplantae; Streptophyta; Magnoliopsida; Lamiales; Lamiaceae
Exons: 2
Source: RefSeq, a predicted model, not a curated record